UAUUAAAAAUUUCAUUCAUUUUUAUUGUUAAAAACUAACUAGGUUAAUGAAAUAACAGGACAGUUGCAUGUGGUGUGCCACACAUACUUUACGUUGAUUACAAAGACAUUUUUAACAAUAAAAAUAUAUAAAAAUUUUAACA
Molecule: microRNA precursor, 142 nt
Filed under: Gossypium arboreum
Lineage: Eukaryota; Viridiplantae; Streptophyta; Magnoliopsida; Malvales; Malvaceae
Description: MIR7502 microRNA precursor family
Rfam family: MIR7502 microRNA precursor family
Source: Rfam by way of RNAcentral